GGGCUCUCAUUCUCCAGCUGCAGCCGCAGCUGGGUUCCGAACACGCCGCCGGGCCCCGGGAGGGAGAGGGGCAGGUGCCAGGGCGGCGCGCAGCCUCUGCUCCCGGUGCCAGCUUCAGUGCGCCGGGCACACGCGCGCCCCGCAACCCCUCCCUCACCCUUUCCCCGUUGCUCAAUCUCCGCCAGCCGCGGUCGCUGCAUCGUCAGAGAGCUGCAAGAGGGAGGCAGCAAGGCGCGGCCACCAGCAGUGACACCAUGUGACCGGCACGGCUCACUGACACGCAGCUUUGGUUAAAGAGCGGGCGCACAGGAGGGGAGGAGACCGCGCGCGGGACGGGGAGGAAUGGCCUGUCCGCGUUAAACCAUCACAAGCCAUGGUUGCGGAAGGGCCACGCGUCCCCCAGUAGGAGAAUGACUCCGAUUCGUGACCCUCAGCGCCGGUGCAUGUCGAUGUAAGUGCGAGGCCGGCGAGCAGAGUGUGAGUGGGGGUUGGUGGUGAGGGGAGAUUCUGAUGCAAUCGGCCCGGAAAGGAGGAGAGCUAGGCGAGCGCGGACUGGGGCAGCCACGCCACUCCGCCUGAAGGUCGCCAGGAGCCUCCGCCCUUCACCUUCCUCGGAAAUCCGCCAGGCCACGCCAAGCUCCCUGCCCAGCCCUCACUGGCGGGGGCCACAUUUUCCCGGCCUCCGCAGCCAGACCUUGACACAAAGGACAUCAAACUGCCGAGGGUAAAAACCCCGGAAGGGCGGACACCUCCACAUCGCCUUUUGCCACCUUUCCCUUUAUUUCCGGAGAUAUUUAUUGAGUGUCUACUGUGUGCCAGGCACUAUAUCUAUGUGCAUAGAAAAACCCUGGAAGGCCAUACAACAAUAUAUAUAGAGUGAUCGUCUCUGCUUGCUGAGCUAACAGGAGUGUCAAGCUUCCAUUUUGGUAUCUACUUCUAAAUACACUCAGAACAGGAGAAAUUUGGACUAAUUUUCAAACUACAGAUACUUUCUAAUCAUGAUGCAUUUCAAAAGUGGACUCGAAUUAACUGAGUUGCAAAACAUGACAGUGCCCGAGGAUGAUAACAUUAGCAAUGACUCCAAUGAUUUCACCGAAGUAGAAAAUGGUCAGAUAAAUAGCAAGUUUAUUUCUGAUCGUGAAAGUAGAAGAAGUCUCACAAACAGCCAUUUGGAAAAAAAGAAGUGUGAUGAGUAUAUUCCAGGUACAACCUCCUUAGGCAUGUCUGUUUUUAACCUAAGCAAUGCCAUUAUGGGCAGUGGGAUUUUGGGACUCGCCUUUGCCCUGGCAAACACUGGAAUCCUACUUUUUCUGGUACUUUUGACUUCAGUGACAUUGCUGUCUAUAUAUUCAAUAAACCUCCUAUUGAUCUGUUCAAAAGAAACAGGCUGCAUGGUGUAUGAAAAGCUGGGGGAACAAGUCUUUGGCACCACAGGGAAGUUCGUAAUCUUUGGAGCCACCUCUCUACAGAACACUGGAGCAAUGCUGAGCUACCUCUUCAUCGUAAAAAACGAACUACCCUCUGCCAUAAAGUUUCUAAUGGGAAAGGAAGAGACAUUUUCAGCCUGGUACGUGGAUGGCCGCGUUCUGGUGGUGAUAGUCACCUUUGGCAUAAUUCUCCCUCUGUGUCUCUUGAAGAACUUAGGGUAUCUUGGCUAUACUAGUGGAUUUUCCUUGAGCUGUAUGGUUUUUUUCCUAAUAGUGGUUAUUUACAAGAAAUUUCAAAUUCCCUGCAUUGUUCCAGAGCUAAAUUCAACAAUAAGUGCUAAUUCAACAAAUGCUGACACGUGUACGCCAAAAUAUGUUACCUUCAAUUCAAAGACCGUGUAUGCUUUACCCACCAUUGCAUUUGCAUUUGUUUGCCACCCGUCAGUCCUGCCAAUUUACAGUGAGCUUAAAGACCGAUCACAGAAAAAAAUGCAGAUGGUUUCAAACAUCUCCUUUUUCGCCAUGUUUGUUAUGUACUUCUUGACUGCCAUUUUUGGCUACUUGACAUUCUAUGACAACGUGCAGUCCGACCUCCUUCACAAAUAUCAGAGUAAAGAUGACAUUCUCAUCCUGACAGUGCGGCUGGCUGUCAUUGUUGCUGUGAUCCUCACAGUGCCGGUGUUAUUUUUCACGGUUCGUUCAUCUUUAUUUGAACUGGCUAAGAAAACAAAGUUUAAUUUAUGUCGUCAUACCGUGGUUACCUGCAUACUCUUGGUUGUUAUCAACUUGUUGGUGAUCUUCAUACCCUCCAUGAAGGAUAUUUUUGGAGUCGUAGGAGUUACAUCUGCUAACAUGCUUAUUUUCAUUCUUCCUUCAUCUCUUUAUUUAAAAAUCACAGACCAGGAUGGAGAUAAAGGAACUCAAAGAAUUUGGAUAUGCUUUGGAACAACAGACCUGGAUUCAAAAACUACCUUUCUAUAUUGGGAUUCUUGUUUCCAGGUCUGGUGAAGUUCAAGGGCAUCUUGAACGUGGUGCACUUGGAGACAGUGAGGGAAGCAGGGGUGAAGUGGCUGCUACCUGAGUCCCUUCUGGAGCUCCAUUUUGCUUGGUCUUGGAGAAGGCUUCUCAGCUGCCCUCCCAGCUAGUGCUGCCCUUUUCUUGGGCCUGGGGGUGUUGUUCUCCUUGGUCAGCAUUCCCUUGGUCAUCUAUGACUGGGCCUGCUCAUCGAGUAGUGACGAAGGCCACUGAAACCCGCCGAGAAAAAGAAACAUCCCUGUUGUCUGCUCAGUCAAGUCCCCACACAUCAGCAAUCUCUCACCACUUCUUUUGCAAGUUUACAGAAGCAAACAGAAAUGUACAGGAUACUUAAAAUGGAAUAACUUUUUGGUUGCAAAACAGAGACAUGGUUCUAUAAUGCUUCAUGUCCCUCCAAGAUUUGAGAUCAAUUUAGGGAUUGUGAAUUUUUUUUUCAAAUUUCAUACAAUCAUAUUUCCCAGUACUUUUCACAAUCAUUUUUUACCCAUCUAACUCUAUGUUUUGUGGCUUCCCGGUCUCUUAGAACUUUGAAAACAUGAUAUACAAUCAUGUUUAUUUAUUAUACAUCCAGAUUCUGAAAUAAUUUUCCUACUGAUGUUCAGCUCACACUAUCUGUACCUUUUUAGAAGAGAAAAGAAUCUUGAAUUGUAUAUAUUUAUUUUGCUUUACACAAAAAAAUGGUUUCGUAAAUAAUUUGCCUAUUUUGGUUAAUAUAGCACAUGGAGAUAAUCAUCUGAAAGUUAUAGGGCACUGCCACUGCUGAAUCAGAGCAUGCCCAAUAUUUGAGGUGGCUCUGAUUUCCUGGCAGCUGAACUCGGGUAGUCCAGUGGCCUAGCUGGUACCACAUCUAUUCCCAUCCAGAGACAUUCUCUGGCAAGUGUUCUCAGCUGAAAAGUGGUUGGGGAUGAUUCUUACCUUGGUAAUUAAAUGAAGCUACACAUUUGGGUAAUCUAGCAAAUGAAGUAUUUUUUCCCUCUUGGCAACUUGUGUCAGAGUUACUCUGGUCUGAGUCAGCUUUCGCUGGGGAAAACCUAUGGAACCUACUGCAAAAAGAUUGUCCAAAAUGCCUAAGAAAAUACUCCUCUGAUGCGUUUAGCCUUCAACCCUACCUGUCUUGCUGAAGGGAGAAAAAUGUUUUAGUACAUUAUAGGCCCAGCAGCUUUUAUUCAUGUCCACCAGCUAGUUGCACAGAGAAUCAUGUGUACCUAACUAAGGAUGAUCUAGGAUAAGUAACUCCUGUUUUAUAUUGAGUAUUUUAGGGAAGUCUUUAAAAGACUUGUUUUAUAUCUAUAAAGCUAGGUUAUUACAAAUACAAGAAUUUUGUACCUUAAAUAAGCCUCAUUUCUAUUUCUUCUUCAUUAAUUCUCCAUCUAGUCUUGUGAAAAAAAAAAAAACCUCAGAGAUAGUCUUUUUGAAGAGCUUCUGACAGAAUCACUGAGUACCUUCCUUCCCCCAGAUGAGGAAGACAAGGGGGUCUCAGUGUCUGUGCUGUCUCCUCUUCUCUUCCCCAACCAAGGACUGUGCCAUUACUGCCCAUCUCAACUGUCCAUGCAGGAGGACAGAGUUGCCUGGUACUCUUACCCUUGUCCCUCUCCUAAAGGGAGCACAAGGAAACUGAAGAGACUGAAAAAGAAGAGUUUGUAGCUGAAAAAGAAUAGGGAUAGCAAGGAAACCCAGAACUGCAUUCCCCUAAGUGGGGCCAUCCCAUGUGAUUGAACUGUCCAUAGCUUGCCUAUGGUGAGAAAUGUGCAUGCUCCGUGAGCUGGUCUCUUGAAACAGGACUUAUGCUUCCUCUAUAUUCUGGUUAAAUUUUCCAAACACAUAAGUUCACUGAGCACAGAUUUCUUAUCCAGAGACAAGUAGAAUCUAACCGCAGACUGUUGGCAGAGUUUCCAGGCACUUAGCCAUGUUCCCUUCCUGAUUCAAAUCCCCAAAGGCCUUCACUCUCACUGAGAAUCACACUACUGUCCCAUAGAUAAGGCAGGCAUUGAAGCACCUGUCGUGAUCCUCUAGGGGGGAGAAUGAAAGGUUAUUUCCUGCAUUGCAUCAUCAUAGCUUUUAAUAUAAUGCUACAGAAUCAUAUCCACAUUAGGUUAGAGUUCAGAUAUUUGGAUAUGAAUACCUAACCGAGCCAUAUCCAUGGCCAUCUCUGUCCUUUUCAGCAAUGUUUUCCAUAUGAUAUUAGCAAUGACAGAAACAGAACAAGCCAAGAUCCAGUCAGUUCUUGGGAGCUUGUCUAGAGCACCAAGUAAUGAAAUAGCCAGGUAGUGGGAUGACCGUACCUUUAAAAAUACAUAAUUUAGUUUGCAAGCUAUAUUAUGCUACUUUCUAUUUUCCUCGUUACUUUAUAGCAAUUCAUUUUACCCUCACAAAGUCAAUUUAGAACCUUAUCAUUAACUGGGAUGUGUAGUGAUAUUUUUGGGCCUUUGGGUUUCAUGUGUCAAUACAAGGAAUAUUUAUUUAAAAUAGAUUUAUUUAGAGGAGGCACAGUGUUGUUGAUCUGUGUGACACCACCCAUAUUUUUAAAAACCUUUGUAUGUUUCUCUAAAUUUGUUGUUGACUGAAUAUAAUAGACCCUACCAUAAUUUGUCAAAUAUCACUGAUUAGUUACAUCCUUUGUGUGGGAUUAGCUGUAAAGUAUACUGCUCUUAUUCUUAUUCAGAAUAGUUAAUUGGUAGCCAGAAAUACAUGUAUCACAGAUGUUAGGUCGAAUUUAAACAGCACAGUCAAGUGCUAUGGAAGUUUUUCUGCUAAAUUAGUAGAUUAAAGAAUACUAUACCCUAGGCAUGGGGAGCAGCAUGUUUUCCUUUGGUAGGUAGGAUCUCUAUACUAGUGAACAGUGCCAGUUUCACACUUUGGAUUUAGAACUGUUCUCUAGUUAUUGUAACACAGAAUACUGUCAAUCCCUAAUUUACUUAAUGUUACUUAUUGGAAGUGGGGCUGAUGAAAUACGCACAGGAGGGAAAUCUACUGUGUUUAGGCACAGGCAGCCCCAGUGUAUAAGGAGAUCAUAUUCCAAAAGGUUGUCAGUUGGUUGUUUGCAACCUGGAAUGUAUUUUCCUUUAGAGACCUGGUUAUCCAUGGUGGUUAGGCCCCUAGAGCAGCUGGAAAAGAUGAUCAAACCCAUAGGUUAGCUGACAUCGAAUAAUGUAAUAGGUUUGCUAAAGAAUCUAACCAUCAAAUAUAAUAUUGUUUCCAGGGAGGGUGUUUGUUCAGAGUUGCCUGUUAGUAGAAUCUGGACUGUCCAUCCCAGCCAAAUCCCACCUACUGGACAGUAGGGGUAGAGAUGCCACCAGACUACAGGUGACCAGAUUGGCCUGAAACAUGGUGUCCAGUAAAAACGGGGAGGAAUAAGUCCAUGACUGCCGGAGAGCUUGGUGGUAGGAGGAGGGUGAAGGAGGGUGAGGGGGCCUCUCAUGGGUCAGAAACCUCCAGGGACAUCCCUCAGCUGGUAACUCUGCUGUUGUCCGGAGGGUUCAGGCUUGGUCUGCCUUCUUCUGUUUGUCUGACUUUUGGCUCCUAUGGUUCAUCUCCUGCCCUGCCCACCACAGAAAAGGAUGCUGCUGCACAGCUUCUCCAAUGUACCAGUCAUUGAGGCCAGCACGCAGCACUUUUAAUGUUUUUAGUGCUAGUAACUGUGUUUUAACUCUCCAGGAAUAAGCUGGGAGGUUAGAAAACAAGAAAAAAGGGGGAAAAAGAAACCUCUCCACCCACUUUCCUUUUUUACAGUUACAGACCCUGUUGAGAAAAAGAAGCACCCAGAUGGGUGAUGGUGAUAGGGCUUGUGGUGGACACAGGGUUGUGGUAAGAUUCCUCAGUGCUUCGGAGAGCACCUAAGACUGUUACCCUGGAACUGACUGCUUUCUAGAGCUUGAUUCAUGCCUCUAAGCCAGUGGUUCUCAAAGUGUGGCCCCUAGACCAGUAGCAUCAGCAUCAUCGGGGACCUCAUUAGAAUGCAGAUUCUCAGCCCCCUCCCAGACAUGGUGAAGUCAGAAGCUCUCAGGGAAGGACUCAGCAGAUGAUUCUAAAGCGCAUCAAGUUUGAGAACCACCGUAAGCCAAUGAGUCUCCCUUUUACUUUCCAUUAGUCCUACCUCACCAGAUGAUUCCUAGGACUCAUGGUGCAACAUACAGGAGCCAGGCUUUAGGGAGGGGAGGAAAGGAGCCUGGCGGCAGGGGUCUCUGCAAUGGCAAGAAAGUGAGUGAAUCCAGCGCUGCCACCUGGUUAUCCCCUUCUCGUUGAAAAUAGCAGCGCAGGUGCAAAUUCCUAAACACUGGCUGCCUGCACUCGGUGUUACCUCGGGCUGAGGCAUGAUAAUAUUUUAUUUUUUAAAGCUGUGAGGAAAUGAAAGUGAGGCUUUGGUUGGGGCGAGGCAGUUGUGAAAGAAAUUAAAAUAAAAGACCCUUUGUAAAUGCAGACUUAGAAGAAAUACUGAAUUUGUGUGAGAAGUUCUCCAAUGUUUGUGUUAAUCGUGUGGUGAUAAUCCUGUCCUCCUUUUAAAGCGAAUUCUCUACUGAAAGGUCUGCUCUGCUUAAGGAGCUACAAACUGCUCUCAAAAGAAUGAAAUACUGAGUUCCAAUUCAGUGGGGCACAGUGUUGGACUAUGGCACAUUUAGUUGGAGUCGGGGGGAGGUCAGGAAUAUGAUCAGAUAAUGGAUUUUAUACCUUAGAGCAAAAUCUAUUAGUCUCUCUCAGUUUAUCAAUUUAAAUGGCUUUAGGCUUAUAGGGGGUGUAAACUUUAUAAUUCUCCCAUUCAAGUUUACAGCAAACAUCUAGCCACCUUCAAAACAAAGAAGAUACAGACCAUCAUUUAGCAAUACUAAUACAUGAUUUUCCUUGGGGAUGGCAGGUUUGAGAAUCCUUUAGCAACAGGACAUACUUCCCCUAAAUUACAGUGAAUUAUUUAUAACGAGAUAAAGCUUUCAGGUACAAGCUGAAGGUGGGGUGUCUAACAACUAAAAACUAUCACUAAAUCUCAAAGAGAAAGUUCUUGCAAAAUAUGUAAAGUUCACAAGGUGCAGACAUUUUCCUUCUUUAGGCUUUUAUCUAAGGAAGGGCUAUGAAACUGGGCCCAUCUGUAUACAGGCUCAAAUUUACGUUUUUAAAGGAAGAAUCUAUGCAGCUGAGGCUUAUUGCAGGAAAUACUUCAUUUGUAUGUAAAUAUUAUUGUAAAUAAAUAGGAGGCUGUAUAUUUUUGAAGUUGUUGAUCCGCACUGAAAUAGAAGUCUCUAGGAUCUGCAUAUAAACAAUAAAUGUUUCCUAGAUAUUAGUGGUUUUGUUUGGGAAUUAGAAAAAUUUACAUUCUCUCCCAGGUAACAUAGUUCUCUCAAUGUAAACUUGGAACCUGAAACCCUACUUAAUUUAGAGAAAGAAAUGUCUGAGAAAUAGUUCCCUUGAUUUCUUAUGCUGGCAUUAAGAUCAAUUAUUUAACAGAUAGUCCUCUGAGAUACAAAUAAGGAAUAUUUAGACACAAAUCCUUGUCCUAUAGAAACAGAUAUACCCAAAUGACAAAUUGUUUCUUCAUAAUGAUCUUCCAUUUUUAACACUGAUACCACUACACAGUACAUAUGAAAACAGAAGCUGGGGAGAAGAAUGUUUUUUUCACAAUUGAAUUGCUGCAUUUCUCAAACUUUGGGAUCUAUGAAAGCGGGGAGAGGGAACCUGAAUAUUAAUUAUGAGCACAAAUUUGAAGGAAAGAAAACAACCAUUAUCUAAUCAAGCUUUGAAAGUCCUGCAUGUUUGCCUUUUAUUUUAGUGUUGACGCCAACAUAGACUGUCUAAGGUAUUUUUUUCCCCAAACACUUGAAUCUUGGUCGUUGGUAUGUAAUCCACUCUCUAGAGUCCAGUGUACUUUAGACUUCAUCUGAGUCCGGUACAUGUACCACACUACUGUUUUAUUAAUGUAAAAACCUUGUAAAUGAAUUUCAGAUGGGUGAUUUAAGUGAGUCACAAGUCACAAAACUUUGCUAUUCAUAGUUAAUCAAAUAGAACUGGGUUUUUUUUUUCAGGGUGUGAAAUAAAGAAAUAUAAGAAGUUCUGUUCUAUAACUGCUCUGUUAACAUAGUUUUUAAACAUUAAAAAAUGUGAACUAAAAA
Molecule: RNA transcript, 8557 nt
Organism: Pan troglodytes (chimpanzee)
Lineage: Eukaryota; Metazoa; Chordata; Mammalia; Primates; Hominidae
Gene: SLC38A1
Gene name: solute carrier family 38 member 1
Exons: 18
Source: RefSeq, a predicted model, not a curated record